GCCCUAGUAACGGCGAGUGAAGCGGCACAGCUCAAAUUUGAAAUCUGGCCUUCGGGUCCGAGUUGUAAUUUGCAGAGGAUGCUUUUGGCGCGGUGCCUUCCGAGUUCCCUGGAACGGGACGCCUUAGAGGGUGAGAGCCCCGUACGGUUGGACACCAAGCCUCUGUAAAGCUCCUUCGACGAGUCGAGUAGUUUGGGAAUGCUGCUCUAAAUGGGAGGUAAAUUUCUUCUAAAGCUAAAUACCGGCCAGAGACCGAUAGCGCACAAGUAGAGUGAUCGAAAGAUGAAAAGCACUUUGAAAAGAGGGUUAAAUAGCACGUGAAAUUGUUGAAAGGGAAGCGUUUACGGCCAGACCUUUUCCUGGCGGAUCAUCUGGUGUUCUCACCAGUGCACUUCGCCAGGUUUAGGCCAGCAUCGGCUUCCGUAGGGGGAUAAAAGCAGUGGGAAAGUAGCUCCCUCGGGAGUGUUAUAGCCCUAAGCAUAAUACCCUUACGGGGGCCGAGGACCGCGCUUUUGCAAGGAUGCUGGCGUAAUGGUCGUCAACGACCCGUCUUGAAACACGGACCAAGGAGUCGAACAUUUGUGCGAGUGUUUGGGUGUUAAACCCUCACGCGUAAUGAAAGUGAACGGAGGUGAGAGCCCUUUAGGGUGCAUCAUCGACCGAUCCUGAUGUCUUCGGAUGGAUUUGAGUAAGAGCAUAACUGUUCGGACCCGAAAGAUGGUGAACUAUGCGUGGAUAGGGUGAAGCCAGAGGAAACUCUGGUGGAGGCUCGCAGCGGUUCUGACGUGCAAAUCGAUCGUCAAAUCUGCGCAUGGGGGCGAAAGACUUAUCGAACCAUCUAGUAGCUGGUUACCGCCGAAGUUUCCCUCAGGAUAGCAGUGUUGUCUUCAGUUUUAUGAGGUAAAGCGAAUGAUUAGGGACUCGGGGGCGCUUAUUAGCCUUCAUCCAUUCUCAAACUUUAAAUAUGUAAGAAGCUCUUGUUGCUUAGUUGAACGUGAGCAUUCGAAUGUACCAACACUAGUGGGCCAUUUUUGGUAAGCAGAACUGGCGAUGCGGGAUGAACCGAACGCGGGGUUAAGGUGCCGGAGUGGACGCUCAUCAGACACCACAAAAGGUGUUAGUACAUCUAGACAGCAGGACGGUGGCCAUGGAAGUCGGAAUCCGCUAAGGACUGUGUAACAACUCACCUGCCGAAUGUACUAGCCCUGAAAAUGGAUGGCGCUCAAGCGUCCCACCCAUACCUCGCCCUCAG
Molecule: ribosomal RNA, 1252 nt
Filed under: fungal endophyte
Lineage: Eukaryota; Fungi
Description: eukaryotic LSU rRNA
Rfam family: Eukaryotic large subunit ribosomal RNA
Source: RNAcentral